RNAcentral lists this ribosomal RNA (1666 nucleotides) under Klebsiella pneumoniae subsp. pneumoniae. Its description in RNAcentral is "bacterial LSU rRNA". It matches the Rfam family "Bacterial large subunit ribosomal RNA", at positions 1292 to 2925 of the family's 2925-position model. Lineage: Bacteria; Pseudomonadati; Pseudomonadota; Gammaproteobacteria; Enterobacterales; Enterobacteriaceae. The record is from RNAcentral.
GAAUGCUGACAUAAGUAACGAUAAAGCGGGUGAAAAGCCCGCUCGCCGGAAGACCAAGGGUUCCUGUCCAACGUUAAUCGGGGCAGGGUGAGUCGACCCCUAAGGCGAGGCCGAAAGGCGUAGUCGAUGGGAAACAGGUUAAUAUUCCUGUACUUGGUGUUACUGCGAAGGGGGGACGGAGAAGGCUAUGUUAGCCGGGCGACGGUUGUCCCGGUUUAAGCAUGUAGGCUGGUUAUCCAGGCAAAUCCGGAUAAUCAAGGCUGAGGUGUGAUGACGAGGCACUACGGUGCUGAAGUAACAAAUGCCCUGCUUCCAGGAAAAGCCUCUAAGCAUCAGGUAACAUCAAAUCGUACCCCAAACCGACACAGGUGGUCAGGUAGAGAAUACCAAGGCGCUUGAGAGAACUCGGGUGAAGGAACUAGGCAAAAUGGUGCCGUAACUUCGGGAGAAGGCACGCUGGUGUGUAGGUGAAGUCCCUGCGGAUGGAGCUGAGACCAGUCGAAGAUACCAGCUGGCUGCAACUGUUUAUUAAAAACACAGCACUGUGCAAACACGAAAGUGGACGUAUACGGUGUGACGCCUGCCCGGUGCCGGAAGGUUAAUUGAUGGGGUUAUCCGUAAGGAGAAGCUCUUGAUCGAAGCCCCGGUAAACGGCGGCCGUAACUAUAACGGUCCUAAGGUAGCGAAAUUCCUUGUCGGGUAAGUUCCGACCUGCACGAAUGGCGUAAUGAUGGCCAGGCUGUCUCCACCCGAGACUCAGUGAAAUUGAACUCGCUGUGAAGAUGCAGUGUACCCGCGGCAAGACGGAAAGACCCCGUGAACCUUUACUAUAGCUUGACACUGAACAUUGAGCCUUGAUGUGUAGGAUAGGUGGGAGGCUUUGAAGCGUGGACGCCAGUCUGCGUGGAGCCAACCUUGAAAUACCACCCUUUAAUGUUUGAUGUUCUAACGUUGGCCCCUGACCGGGGUUGCGGACAGUGUCUGGUGGGUAGUUUGACUGGGGCGGUCUCCUCCCAAAGCGUAACGGAGGAGCACGAAGGUUAGCUAAUCCUGGUCGGACAUCAGGAGGUUAGUGCAAUGGCAUAAGCUAGCUUGACUGCGAGCGUGACGGCGCGAGCAGGUGCGAAAGCAGGUCAUAGUGAUCCGGUGGUUCUGAAUGGAAGGGCCAUCGCUCAACGGAUAAAAGGUACUCCGGGGAUAACAGGCUGAUACCGCCCAAGAGUUCAUAUCGACGGCGGUGUUUGGCACCUCGAUGUCGGCUCAUCACAUCCUGGGGCUGAAGUAGGUCCCAAGGGUAUGGCUGUUCGCCAUUUAAAGUGGUACGCGAGCUGGGUUUAGAACGUCGUGAGACAGUUCGGUCCCUAUCUGCCGUGGGCGCUGGAGAAUUGAGGGGGGCUGCUCCUAGUACGAGAGGACCGGAGUGGACGCAUCACUGGUGUUCGGGUUGUCAUGCCAAUGGCACUGCCCGGUAGCUAAAUGCGGAAGAGAUAAGUGCUGAAAGCAUCUAAGCACGAAACUUGCCCCGAGAUGAGUUCUCCCUGAGACUUUAAGUCUCCUGAAGGAACGUUAAAGACGACGACGUUGAUAGGCCGGGUGUGUAAGCGCAGCGAUGCGUUGAGCUAACCGGUACUAAUGAACCGUGAGGCUUAACCUUACAACGCCGAAG